Vicugna pacos (alpaca) is the source of this 72-nucleotide non-coding RNA. NCBI's taxonomy places the organism in Eukaryota, Metazoa, Chordata, Mammalia, Artiodactyla, Camelidae. The record is from the annotation of a RefSeq genome assembly.
GAGGGUAUAGCUCAGUGGUAGAGUGCACGCUUGACACGCACGAGGACCUGGGUUCAAUCCCCAGUACCUCCA